GUACACGCUGUGACUAGCAUAUCAAUAAGCGGAGGAAAAGAAACUAACAAGGAUUCCCCUAGUAACGGCGAGUGAAGCGGGAAGAGCUCAAAUUUGAAAUCUUGAAGGGUUUCCCUUUACGAAUUGUAGUUUAAAGAAGUGUUUUCUGUUGAGGUUUUGGUAAAAGUUCUUUGGAAUAGGACAUCAUAGAGGGUGAGAAUCCCGUAUUUGACCUUUACUUUCAACUUUGUGAUACACUUUCAAAGAGUCGGAUUGUUUGGGAAUGCAGUCCAAAAUGGGUGGUAAAUUUCAUCUAAAGCUAAAUAUUGGCGAGAGACCGAUAGCGAACAAGUACCGUGAGGGAAAGAUGAAAAGAACUUUGAAAAGAGAGUUAAACAGUACGUGAAAUUGUCAAAAGGGAAGCGUUUGACACCAGUGUUGUUUUUCUGAAAAUCAAUUAAAGAACUGUUUAUGCUAAGCUUGUUUAGACUUUAUCAGCUAAUCUGUUUAGUUUUGAGCUUUUCUUUAAUGCACUUUUCAGUUAACAAGUCAACAUCAAUUUCUUUUGCUGUAAAAAAGCUUGAGGAAGGUGGCUUGAGAUUCGUCUUAAGUGUUUAUAGCCUCUUGCCUAUGCAGUCGGAGAGAUUGAGGUCUGCAGCGUAGAUCCUUCGGGGCUAAAUGCAUUUGUGCUAAGUUAUAGCAUUUUAUAGACAACUUGUUGACUAUGAUUUGUCUUGUAGCUUACUCGCUUAUGUUAUUUUACCUACGCUUAGGAUGUUGAAGAUGUAGCACAUCAU
RNAcentral lists this ribosomal RNA (776 nucleotides) under uncultured Neocallimastigales. RNAcentral describes it as "partial large subunit ribosomal RNA". It matches the Rfam family "Eukaryotic large subunit ribosomal RNA", at positions 22 to 635 of the family's 3401-position model. The record is from RNAcentral. Lineage: Eukaryota; Fungi; Neocallimastigomycota; Neocallimastigomycetes; Neocallimastigales.